This 497-nucleotide ribosomal RNA is filed under the name uncultured bacterium. RNAcentral's name for it is "partial 16S ribosomal RNA". It matches the Rfam family "Bacterial small subunit ribosomal RNA", at positions 28 to 507 of the family's 1533-position model. The record is from RNAcentral.
GGUGAACGCUGGCGGCGUGCCUAAUACAUGCAAGUCGAGCGAACGGACGAGAAGCUUGCUUCUCUGAUGUUAGCGGCGGACGGGUGAGUAACACGUGGAUAACCUACCUAUAAGACUGGGAUAACUUCAGGAAACCGGAGCUAAUACCGGAUAAUAUUUUGAACCGCAUGGUUCAAAAGUGAAAGACGGUCUUGCUGUCACUUAUAGAUGGAUCCGCGCUGCAUUAGCUAGUUGGUAAGGUAACGGCUUACCAAGGCAACGAUGCAUAGCCGACCUGAGAGGGUGAUCGGCCACACUGGAACUGAGACACGGUCCAGACUCCUACGGGAGGCAGCAGUAGGGAAUCUUCCGCAAUGGGCGAAAGCCUGACGGAGCAACGCCGCGUGAGUGAUGAAGGUCUUCGGAUCGUAAAACUCUGUUAUUAGGGAAGAACAUAUGUGUAAGUAACUGUGCACAUCUUGACGGUACCUAAUCAGAAAGCCACGGCUAACUACGUG